AUCAUUUCAGUGAUUGCAGUGUUGGUCAUGAUUCAGCUCAUGGUUGAGCCAGGACAGGCUCUUACCUGUGGUCAAGUGGAUGCUUCUUUAGCACCUUGUGUCCCUUACCUUACUCAGGGUGGCGAACCUGGAACUGCAUGUUGUAACGGAGUGAAAGCCUUGAAAGUUAUGGCUCAAUCUAUAGUUGACAGAAGGGCAGCCUCAAUUGUGUCAAGGCUGCUGCCAACAGAUAUGCAAAUCUGAAGGAUGAUGAUGCUCAGGCUCUCCCUAGCAAAUGUGGCGUUACAAUGGAUAUUCCCGUCUCUCGUACCAUCAACUGUGGCAUGUAAGAUUAUCAUCAUAUAAUUAUACAUCUCAAUUAGAGUAAUUGCACAUUCUGACUUGUUUCUUUUUUGCAGAAUCAACUGAAGUGAUUCAAUGCAGCCAGAAAUUUGCCAGGCUGAUCAUGCUAGAAAUACAUGGAACCAAGUUUUACAUUACCUACUUAUUUUGAUGUAUAAGAAGCUUUGAGAUAUUAUAAUAAUACAAUACUCUCUUUUGUCCUUCUCUCUGGACAAUUAUGCCAAUGCGCAUUUCAUAUUGCAGAGUCAAUAAAAGCAUAUACGACUGUAUGAACUACAUAUAUAACUUUGGAAAGACAAAAGUUGUGCAAUAUCGACAGGCAUCUAGUUCAAUGCCUUAAGUUUAACUUCUAUACACUUACAGUGUAAAAGGAACUACAGGUGACAGUUCAUAAUAAAUAGGAUUAUUUACCUGAAAAAUAAGGCAGGUUACUUGCUAUGAGAGACAUCUAGCUCAAUGCUGAUGCACUAGCCUUCUUUCUCUUGUGGGUCAUAGAGGUUGGGAUUCAAGACAUUAAUGAGCAAAAAAAACACUAAACCAACUUAAAGAAUUUACGAACUGCUCUCCAAUCCCAUUUGGCACAUCAAGGAAACGUCAUUUGAUCAACUUUUAAGUUGCAAGAAGCUCCUGUCUAUAAAGACCAUCCAAUCCAAUAUAUUCCAAGUAAGAUCAGUUGCUAAAGAAUGUAUAUUUGCCAAGUGAUGCAUUUUUGAAUAUGAUCAAAAUCUAUCAGCAGUUACUGCAAAUCUCAUCAUCUAAUGCAGUUAGUUAAAUCACAUUUUUUUUCCAUAACCAAGAUUUGGCUUUGACACUAUACUAAUCCUUUAAGUUCGUCCAUUGUACUUGUAGACAAAGCAGCCUAAGGCUCUCAGCCAGACAAACUGCAACUAAUGAAGAUAAGGUGUUCCGGAAUUCAUUUAUAUCACUCAGAAAUAUACAAAUGCCACUGGAAACAUCUAUAUGAUUGACAUGUAAAUGAAAUGGAAAUUCCAAACUAAUAUAACAGUCUUCCUUAAUCACAAAAACAUCACCGAGCUAAACAGCUAGCAUCAGAUUCAACCGUUUUAGUCGUCCACUUAUUAUCUCAUAAACGUCAACUAAAUGUAGAGGAGGAAAAGAACAGAAUGAGGUAUCGGUCACAAAUGGUCUCAGAACAAUUUCUUUCUAAAAUCGCACUAUUUCACGAAUUAAUAAUUUAUUAUAUGGACACUACUAAUUUUUUAGUUCUCAUCACUAAUUUGUAAUGCUUAUUGUCUCUAACAAUAAGGAAUUCCAGUUUCAGCCUAAUAAUAAACUAACCAAAAUCAAUGCUAAGUUUCCUAAAUAAUGUUAUUAUUUCAAUAUCAAACUAUCUAAUCCACAAUGGUUAAAAUGAUUUCCACCUCAAUACUAUAUAUAUAUAUAUAUAUAUAUAUAUAAAUAAAUAAAUAAAUAAAAAAAAUUGACAAGACACCUGAAAGUAAACCUUGAACCUGCCAGAGCAUCUCUACAGACACCGUCCUAAUGUCAAAUUAUAUAUUUCACAUAUUUGUAUUUCUAUACAUAAUCUAUACAAACAGUAGUUUUUCUUAUUAAGUGAAUUCAAUUGGACUCUCUUUGCACAAUGUGGAUCCGUCGAAGUUAAUCUUUUUUCUAUGUAAUCUAAUUCCAUUUAUCUAGAUGAAUAUCUGAUUAGCACAUUUGUAAUGGAAACGAUGAAGACCUGUUAUUCUAGCAUGUUUUCGCAAGUCCACAAAGUUGACCUGGAAAUAUAAAGCUUCAAAGAGGAAUCCCAUUACAAGAAGGCCAAACAUAGCAAUUUUGUAAAGGAGCUCAAAACUAUACCAAAAAGUUUGAACAGGGAGAAUAUCAGGAAAAAUAAUAGGAGUAACAAUAAGAAAGGGUGAGAGGAGAUCUAACGGCAUCUCCUCGUACUACUCCGACAUUAGAGAAUGUUACAUCUAUCCUCUCUGCUGUCGUAAUGGUUUCCAAAGGGGUUUAAAAGGACUUGGGUGCUCCGCCUUAUUGCCUUAAGGUUUUGGGUCAGAUGCUCAGAUUCCUUAUUAGAUAAUCCCCUCCCCCAGAUAAAUAACAUAUACGACUUGUUCAGUAAGAUUAUCAUAAUCAGUAAUCAUUAUUACAUUAGACCAUAUUCGGGCCAUGUUACUUUCAACUAUGAUGUACAGACUACAGAGUUAGGACAACAUUCCUUAUGUCUAAUUGUUGAGACUGGCGAUUUGAAAUAGGUAUCUUAACCAGUCAAAUUUUGGAGAAUAGAUGCAUCCUAUUAAUAUCAACCUAACAUUUUUUUUAUUAAGGAAAUGCCUGGAAGUGUAAUUUUCUGCAAUCAAUGAGGAUAAGAUUCUUCAGUUCAUAUACUUGUCCAGAACACAGCACAACACAUGCAGGAAACAUCAUAGCUGCAAGGGAAACUGUUUUGAUCCCAUCACUUUCUUCUUCUAAUUGUUUAUCAAUGACAUAAGAAAGGGAAAAUGCCAAAAUCGUGUAACAAAUUUUACAUAAGCCAUUAACUGACCUUUCUUUUAUUAGCCAUCUUGAGAAUACUAUAUAUAUCCCCUUCUACGCCUUCAACUAUACCAGUCCACAGGGAGAACCAAGAAAAGAAAACUAGUAAUCCAAAAACUUCAAGUUUUCAACAGAAAGCGAAUAUGAAGGGAAUCAUCAUUUCAGCAAUUGCAGUGUUAGCCAUGAUUCAGUUCAUGGUUGAGCCAGGACAGGCUCUUACUUGUGGUCAAGUGGAUGCUUCUUUAGCACCUUGUAUUCCUUACCUUACUCAGGGCGGGGAUCCGGGAGCAGCUUGCUGUAAUGGUGUGAGAGCGUUGAAAGGUAUGGCUCAAAACACCGCUGACAAGAGGGCUGCAUGUAAU
This 3209-nucleotide long non-coding RNA is filed under the name Nicotiana tabacum (common tobacco). Its description in RNAcentral is "long non-coding RNA (NTAB_LNC004240)". The record is from RNAcentral. Lineage: Eukaryota; Viridiplantae; Streptophyta; Magnoliopsida; Solanales; Solanaceae.